ACGGGUGAGUAACGCGUAUCCAACCUGCCCAUCACUUGGGGAUAACCUUGCGAAAGUAAGACUAAUACCCAAUGAUAUCUCUAGAAGACAUCUGAAGGAGAUUAAAGAUUUAUCGGUGAUGGAUGGGGAUGCGUCUGAUUAGCUUGUUGGCGGGGUAACGGCCCACCAAGGCGACGAUCAGUAGGGGUUCUGAGAGGAAGGUCCCCCACAUUGGAACUGAGACACGGUCCAAACUCCUACGGGAGGCAGCAGUGAGGAAUAUUGGUCAAUGGGCGAGAGCCUGAACCAGCCAAGUAGCGUGCAGGAUGACGGCCCUAUGGGUUGUAAACUGCUUUUAUAAGGGAAUAAAGUGAGUCUCGUGAGACUUUUUGCAUGUACCUUAUGAAUAAGGACCGGCUAAUUCCGUGCCAGCAGCCGCGGUAAUACGGAAGGUCCGGGCGUUAUCCGGAUUUAUUGGGUUUAAAGGGAGCGUAGGCCGGAGAUUAAGCGUGUUGUGAAAUGUAGACGCUCAAUGUCUGCACUGCAGCGCGAACUGGUUUCCUUGAGUACGCACAAGGUGGGCGGAAUUCGUGGUGUAGCGGUGAAAUGCUUAGAUAUCACGAAGAACUCCGAUUGCGAAGGCAGCUCACUGGAGCGCAACUGACGCUGAAGCUCGAAAGUGCGGGUAUCGAACAGGAUUAGAUACCCUGGUAGUCCGCACGGUAAACGAU
This 710-nucleotide ribosomal RNA is filed under the name uncultured bacterium. Its description in RNAcentral is "bacterial SSU rRNA". It matches the Rfam family "Bacterial small subunit ribosomal RNA", at positions 102 to 810 of the family's 1533-position model. The record is from RNAcentral.